This 760-nucleotide long non-coding RNA is filed under the name Homo sapiens (human). Its description in RNAcentral is "novel transcript". The record is from RNAcentral. Lineage: Eukaryota; Metazoa; Chordata; Mammalia; Primates; Hominidae.
CUUGAGCGGCCUUUUAAUGACACAAAGGCUAAAGGGAAAAAAAAAAAAGAUUUGCAUAGCAAUAACUAUCAUUGCUUUAAAGCUGCAUAGACUUUUCAGAGCCCUGAACAACCACCAAAUCAGGAAUUCAAACCGCACCCUGGGAAGGCUGGGCUUCUUUUUGUUAAAAAGAAAAACCAAAGAUCUCUGAGGCAGCAUAAAUACUUUUUGGAGAAAAACACUAUGAGGAGCAUUGAGAAAGUCCUCAUUUGGAAUACUUAGCUGGACUUACCUAAACUGAACUUUCCCUUCCUUGACCCAGGGCAACCUCUGCCAAGCCCACCACCCUCCAGCUCCUACGCCAUGAAAGAUCGAAGAAGAUAAUCAGAAAAACCACCCAAGAAAAGGAAAAGGGAGAAUCAGUUACAUAUCCAGCAAGCCAGAAAACAAGAAAACCCAAAUCUGUUCCAGUUCUCUAGUUUCACCUUAAAGGCAAAGAACUGUAGAUGCUUGUGAGGAGCUCUUCAAAGCCUAAAUUCAUAGCCUCUCUACGCGGGAGGUUACCAGCAUCUGAAGAAAAACAACCACUACCAGAAAAGCUCUUCUUUGUUUUCAUUCUUCGCAGUCCUUCAGGAAACUCUUGAUAAUGUGAAAUGUUAUUACUGCAAAUGUUGGCUCAAGCACGUUUACUCUAGAGUCUGACUAUCAGUGACUUGUUCGCAAAAUAAAAUCAUUUUUAAAGCCUACAAGGAAAGCCAAGAGCAAACCACAAAUCAGAAAA